AAAUGACUGUACCCGAAUAAGAAGGUCCGGCUAACUUCGUGCCAGCAGCCGCGGUAAUACGAAGGGACCUAGCGUAGUUCGGAAUUACUGGGCUUAAAGAGUUCGUAGGUGGUUGAAAUAGUUGGUGGUGAAAUCCCAGAGCUUAACUCUGGAACUGCCAUCAAAACUUUUCAGCUAGAGUAUGAUAGAGGAAAGCAGAAUUUCUAGUGUAGAGGUGAAAUUCGUAGAUAUUAGAAAGAAUACCAAUUGCGAAGGCAGCUUUCUGGAUCAUUACUGACACUGAGGAACGAAAGCAUGGGUAGCGAAGAGGAUUAGAUACCCUCGUAGUCCAUGCCGUAAACGAUGUGUGUUAGACGUUGGAAAUUUAUUUUCAGUGUCGCAGGGAAACCGAUAAACACACCGCCUGGGGAGUACGACCGCAAGGUUAAAACUCAAAUGAAUUGACGGGGACCCGCACAAGUAGUGGAGCAUGUGGUUUAAUUCGAAGAUACGCGCAGAACCUUACCAGCACUUGACAUGUUCGUCGCGACUCUAAGAGAUUAGAGUUUUCGGUUCGGCCGGACGAAACACAGGUGCUGCAUGGCUGUCGUCAGCUCGUGUCGUGAGAUGUUGGGUUAAGUCCCGCAACGAGCGCAACCCUCACUUUUAGUUGCCAUCAUUAAGUUGGGCACUCUGAAAGAACUGCCAGUGAUAAGCUGGAGGAAGGUGGGGAUGACGUCAAGUCCUCAUGGCCCUUACGUGUUGGGCUACACACGUGCUACAAUGGUAUCUACAACAGGAAGCAAGACUGCGAAGUUAAGCAAAUCCCUAAAAGAUACCUCAGUUCGGAUUGCACUCUGCAACUCGAGUGCAUGAAGCUGGAAUUACUAGUAAUCGUGGAUCAGCGUGCCACGGUGAAUGCGUUCCCGGGUCUUGUACACACCGCCCGUCACACCAUGGGAGUUGGUUCUACCUUAAGGCAAGGUUUAAAACCCUUGACCACGGUAUAGUCAGCGACUGGGGUG
RNAcentral lists this ribosomal RNA (1004 nucleotides) under uncultured bacterium. RNAcentral describes it as "bacterial SSU rRNA". It matches the Rfam family "Bacterial small subunit ribosomal RNA", at positions 467 to 1482 of the family's 1533-position model. The record is from RNAcentral.